AACCUAGCACACCUGCGGUGUGUACCUGCGGAAGGAUCAUUACCUAGAGUUGUAGGCUUUGCCUGCUAUCUCUUACCCAUGUCUUUUGAGUACCUUACGUUUCCUCGGUGGGUCCGCCCACCGAUUGGACAAACUUAAACCCUUUGCAGUUGAAAUCAGCGUCUGAAAAAACUUAAUAGUUACAACUUUCAACAACGGAUCU
RNAcentral lists this unclassified non-coding RNA (202 nucleotides) under soil metagenome. Its description in RNAcentral is "partial contains 5.8S ribosomal RNA, internal transcribed spacer 2, and large subunit ribosomal RNA". The record is from RNAcentral.